UCCCCAUAGGCUCUUUUUGUGCAGCAUAGGGUGUGCCUUGCUUUCUGAUCAUUUGAAUAGCAAGUGUGAAUUUUAAUGCUUGUAUGCUGAGCCCCUAGGCAUGGGGCCACAGCCAGUUGCCUAAGACACUCAUGAAGCUAUGCCUAUGUUCCCACCUGGCCCAGGCUCCUGGCUACCUGUUGGGAUGCUGAGAACCUGUGGGGAAGUUUCCAUUUCAUUUUCACUUGGAUCCCAAACCUACAUUGUCGCAAUGGAGCAAAAAGUUAAUACAACGUUGAAUGCCUCCACUAAUUGUCUACCUUCUAUGAUGAGAGCUGUGCAAGGCAUCAAGGCUUUAGUUUCUGUGUAAGUUGAAUUCAGCUGACCAGACUAGAUAUAGAGAAGUAAAUGACCUUACUUGGAUUCCUCCAUGACCUCCCACAGCAAUGAUCAUCAAUAAGGUAGUUAUAAAUGUAUUAGACUGGAAUAGGUGAAUGGGAUUGUACCAUUUAUCUUUUGUGGUCAAAAUGUGAAAAAUGUCUCCCCUAAGCUGUUCCAUUUACUCCCAAAUCUCAGCAAAUAAGCAACUGUCAAAGUGCAGACGACCAGAGACUGGGUAAUUGCAGGCGACUGACUGACCAGUGUGGUGAUCAAAGUCUCACUCCUAAAUUCUGGAUAAUUUUAGGAACUCUUAGGCCUCCUUAGGGGAAGUGGGUACUAAGAAAUUCUGAAUUACCUGGGCUUUAGGGAAUUUCCUAGAACCGUGGCCAACAGUAAGAUGGUGCUACCCUGAUCUGUGCAUUCAGGACACUGAUUCAUCUUCACCAUUCUAGACCCGGAGAUUGGUCUACUUGCUUUACUGCACAGAUCCUGACCCCCUCUGCCCUAAAUUCCCCUAUCUGGAUUAGUUUUGAAAGCUCUAGGGUUAGUCUAGUCUUUCUGGGGAAUGUUGAGGGCUGUUGUGCCUCACAGUGGCAAUGUGGUUUAAUCAGCUAAAUUAAACCAAGCUAACAACUGUUUCCUGAGCACCCAUUAUGAGCAAGGCUAUAUGCACAUCUCUCACUCUUGUCAGAGACAAGUACAGAAAAAAGUGGAAAGAAAUGGGGACACAUCCUUGGAAAGGGUUGAAUUGUCAGUAUUAGAGUUUUUACUUAUUUAGCACAUGAUUUAUUUAGCACCUACUAUGUGUCAAGGACUUUCAAUUGUGAUUGCAUUGAACAACACUGCCAGGUGAGUGGUACUCUGUCUCUCUAUACAACUGGAUUUCAGACAGGUGAGGUGUCUUGCCUGCAUUCACAUGGCUAAUAUGUGGCAGAAUUGGAAUGUAAGGAGAUCUAACUCCAAAAUGGACUAUAGUAUAUUAUAAUGAUUCUCAACCUCCAUCAGACUCUGUCUAGGAAAUAAACUGUGAAGCUACACCUGAAACCACCAAACCCAUCUCAAACUCAAUGAUCUUUUACAUUUUACCUCUAUUUUUGUUGUUGUUGUAGCUUUUCUGGGGUUGUGCUGGUUAUACCAACCUUAUCUCAGCUACCUGAAGGAUUGUCGUGCUGGAGAAGACGUGUGGAGACCCACCUGACCAAAGCUCAACUUCAUGAACAUAAGAGCUGGAGGAACUGCCUCUCAGACUGUCCAGCUUGCUCAGAAAAGUGGCCUUCCUUUGGCUGGGAGAUGGGACACUAAGCAGAAGGCCAGAGAGGUACUGUUCAAAGAGUGAGCGGUCACCCUGUCCUAGCAUCCAGGCCAUCUUGUCCUGGGGCCCAAGCCUCCUGGCUCACCAUUCAGCACUCCUGAUGAAGAAAUUGAAGCCCAGAAAAAUUAAGUAACUUGUCCAAAUCCAAACAGAUGAGUUAAAAUCAUGAUGACUGUUUAGUGGCUUGAAGACAUUUUGUGUAACAUUUCAGCUUCAAUAAGAAGACGGGAGCUUGGUGCAAGGAUGUUUUACUGGGAGCCUACAGUGGAGCUCAGAAAGUCAUGUUCCGGCUGGACGCAGUGGCUUAUGCCUACAAUCCCAGCACUUUGGGAGGCCAAGGCAGGUGGAU
RNAcentral lists this long non-coding RNA (2021 nucleotides) under Homo sapiens (human). RNAcentral's name for it is "HSALNT0353376". Lineage: Eukaryota; Metazoa; Chordata; Mammalia; Primates; Hominidae. The record is from RNAcentral.